Molecule: long non-coding RNA, 498 nt
Filed under: Nicotiana benthamiana
Lineage: Eukaryota; Viridiplantae; Streptophyta; Magnoliopsida; Solanales; Solanaceae
Description: long non-coding RNA (NBEN_LNC006823)
Source: RNAcentral
UAGCAAUAUGUACACUUACAGCUACACCGUUAGUUCCCCGGUAACAACGCUAAAAUUUAAUCACGCUCAACUAUGCCUUAUAAAAGGACAAUGCAAUCGUUGAAAAUAUAAUUCUGUUUACAAAUCCGGAGUCAAAUCCCACAGAGAACUAAAUCUUAGCUAUAGUUGUUUAAUAUUAUCAAGAAGACAAGCUUGAACAAUUCCUAGCUAAUAGAUAUUAAAAUUCUUGUAUUUAACUAAUCAACUAAAAAUUAAAAUACUAAAUUAACAACUAAUAUUCUAGGGUUAGAUAAGAUUAAGGAGGUCUAGAGUUAUGAUUUUCCCUAUUGUCGAAAUCCUUUCCGCUAUGUCUUAUAUAAUUUUGCCUAAGUAUUCUCAACCAAUCAUAAGCACUCUUAUUACCAUAAAUAUCUCCAGAGUAAUUACGAUAAUUUACUAGACGCACUCUCUCGAGCUACGCUAGCUGGCUUUUAAUACAACUCACUUCAUAUCGCACCC